UGCGGUAGAUAAAGAAGUACU
This 21-nucleotide non-coding RNA is filed under the name Caenorhabditis elegans. Lineage: Eukaryota; Metazoa; Nematoda; Chromadorea; Rhabditida; Rhabditidae. The record is from RNAcentral.